GCUCCAGCAGCUGAGAUCCCCCGUUUAUCUACAAAUACGUACAGCACAGGCAGCAGCUGUGAAAGCUUUCCCCCAUUGAGCCAAAAAUGUGCUUCAAUUCUGAUGAUCAGCAACCAUCUCCAGGAGAGGAGAAGAGAAAUCUCCAUAGCUCAGUUAGUUCUUAACUUUCU
Molecule: small RNA, 170 nt
Filed under: Chrysemys picta bellii (western painted turtle)
Lineage: Eukaryota; Metazoa; Chordata; Testudines; Emydidae
Description: TUC338 (ENSCPBG00000010652.1)
Source: RNAcentral